CUGUGUUUUAAUUGGGAUUUGAAGGGAAGGGGAGCAGAAUUGAGCCCUGUCAGAUAAUCAGAGCAGAUUCUAGUGCUGCCCUCUGCCUGAGGUACUCUUUCCCCGACCUCUUUCCUCUCUCCUCACCUGGGUCCUACCUUUCAGCUCAUAGCUCACAUGCUACUUGUUGGUGUUUGAGUCCAGCAUAGACAUUGCACAGAGCAGACACUCAAAUAUCCAAGUGCCUCACCCAGAGCAGAACAUGGGAAUGAUUAUUUCCCAGUGAGCACCUCCUCAUGCCCAGAACCAGGACAGAUGUGAGGGGUCCAGUGAUGAUUCAACCAGACACAGCUCCAGUCCCCUGGGGUCAUGACUUUGUUUCUUCUGGAUGCUAUACUUGCAUACAGCAUGUUAGAUGUUCUAAGAAGCUACAUUGCACUAUGUGGCCCAUUAUAAAUUUUUAGGCAACUAAACCCCAAAGUCAUCUUUUCUCUUUUUUGAACUGAAUAAAGUUUGUUUUCACCUAAGUCAGUAGACAUUUUACAUGAAACUUCUUCUCUUUCCAAGUAUGUACUUGUUCCAUUUCACUUUCUAAAGCUUAGUGGAGAACUUGGCUUUUAUUCGAUUUAAACUUUUCCAUUCUAUGUCAGCACCUGGUUUUCCUUUCAGCGUCUUGUGUUUAAAACCCCCUUGGCAACAGAACAAACCUGUCUCGGGAGUUGGCUACCUCUGGCCCACAGGCCAAAUGUGGCCCAUCACCUGUUUUUGAAAAUAUGAGUCACUGGAAUACAGCCAUUCCCGUUUGCCUGCAUAUUACCUCUGGCUGCUGUCAUAAUAAAACAGCAGAGGCAAGUGGUUGCCAUGGAGACUGUAUGCCUGGAAUAUUUACUAUCUGGCCCUUUACAGAAAAAGUUUUCCAACCCUGCUCUGUUUCAGUGGCUAAUGUUCUAUUUGUCUUAGCCAUGCACUGUGUUCCUGGGAAACUUGAUUUGACCUAUUAUAUCUGUAUCUGUUAUAUACCUGAUUAACUGAAGAAUAAUCUUAGGUCCUCCAGAUUGGUGUCUAGCCCAAGCAACUGUGAAGUGCAAAUCCUCUGCCACACUCCUACUAAAGAUGGAAAAGUCAUCACUCCAGAGGUGCUGGUGCUGUAGGUGUAUACCUAUGCAAAUAUCGACGAAGCUGUUUUCUUAAGAUUGAGCAAUUUCUAUAGAUAACAUAUAACUUAAUAAAUGUACAACACAAAUAUAAUAAUAUAUAACUUAAAUAACGUAUUGUGUAUGAAUAACCUAAACCUGAGUUUUGAAAAACAGCAUCUCUUUUUCAAACCGUGUUUGAGAACCAACUAGAUGACCAACGCAGAGUGAGGGAUUUUAAUGUAGAGGGAUAUAAGAUUUAUUUAUUUGAUAAACAUUUUCUGAUAUUCUGCAUGUGCCAAGACGAAUGCUAGGAGCUAGGAAUGCAGAAAUAUAAUGGACAUCAUCCAUCCCCUCUAAAAGGAAAGGAGAAAUGAGUUAAUGUUCACUAUGUUGAACAGCCAUCAUGAGUUAGGAGGACUGGAUCUUUAUGACAAACUUCUGAAGCUGAAAUUAAACCAUAAACCAGGAAAAAGCAGGUAAGUAUCAUGUCUUAAGUAUCGUGAUCAGUAAGUGUCAGAGCUAGUAUCUAACCCCAAGUGCAUUAACUCCAAAAGCAAGGGUCUUUCUAUUGUAUUGUUCCUCUAGUUAUAAAGACUCUACCAUUUCAUUUUGAGCAGAGAUCUGUUCACACAAGGUGGAACGGGAGGGCCAUGGAGAAAAAAUAAUCAUAGGUGCUUGUUUUGUCACAAGCUAAGUGCCAGUUUGCUCUAAAAAGGGGAGAUGAAUUUGGAGUGGACAACAGGGGACCCCUUUGCACUCUGUGUCCUGAUUCCCACCCAUUCAACCCAAUGCAUGUUGAUUGCCUGGCCGCUCUGUGCUACCUUAUGAGGCCAUUCAAAUAAGCACAUGAGAGCAUGUUUGUCAUGGGCUCUCAUAAGUGAAGGCGAUUGCUACAAGUUCUUGACUCUGUCUUUAGGAAAUCUCUGUAUUGUUUAAUGGUCUGGUGGCAGCUAUUUGUACCACCCUGCUGGUGGCAGAAAAUUGAGGAUCUUCUGUUCUUAAUAACCCAAGGUGUGACCAGCCCCAUUAAGAUGGCGCUGAUGUCAGAAAGGCCUUUAUUACUCUAUAUGGGCCAAAUCCCUUGUAGUCCUAGACCUGACAAAUUGGGAUGCUGUGCAAAAAAACACCACUAUUAAAGCAAAACUGAGGCAGUGUUACAGGAGUCUGAAGUAGCUGGACUUAGCCUUGAUACUGAAGAAGGGCUACUGGCUCUGUCCAACGGCAGGUCCUAACACACACACAUGCUUUUUUUUUUUUUUAAAUCCAAGUCUCGGGUUCAAAUUCCUCGCUUGAAACUUUUCUUGACCUAGGGAAGGCAUCCAUGUAGUCUUAAGUAGAGGGCAUUCAAACACAGUAAACCAAGAGACUUCCCAACUGGCAAUAGCAGGCUAAAUGGGGACUGUGAUAUUUAGUAAUCCUUUCAUACAAAAGAAAUCGUCAGCACAUGAGCCCUUGUGGAAAGUAAGAGGCAGCAAAAUAAAAUCAAGACCAUUAAACUAUCUCCUCUUAGGUUUCUCCACUUCAACUUUUUGCUCCUUUUAGGUGGCAUGCCCAACAAAUACAUCUGGUUUCUUAAUAGUCAGGAAGGUGAGCUUCAGAUUUAGACUUGCCUGCAUGCAAAUCCUGACAUCCAUCACUGGCUGUGUCAUCUUUGCCAGUUAAUCUCCUUUUGCCCCAUCUCCCUCGUCCCUAAAAAGGAAGCGAUGUCCAUUACUUCCUGGAGUCUGUUGGAAGGGUUAAAUGAGAUAUGCACGUACAGGAGUUAGAAUUCAUGAAUGUUAGGUUGUGGUCAUUAUCAUCCUUGAUAAGCUGGACAUUUUAAUCCUUUUUACUUCUGGAAAGAAAACCAGACACCUGCAUUUUGUGUUCUAGUUCUUAACAUUAAUAGUGGACAGAACAGAGUAUGGACAUGAAAUACCAGCAAUGGCUUUGCUACAAAACGGGAUCAUUGUUUGGGUCCACAGACCAAAAGCCUAAUUUACAGAAGGGUAAGUAUGAAGUUGCAGGGAAGAGUCCUCAUCCAAGGCAACGUGGACAGAGGAACAUUUGGACAAAAUUGUCUAAGUGCUUUAUAGUUAAAUGAAGAGCCAUGGUACUUUAAUUCAGGAGUUCCAAGUGAAGAUAUAUAAAUAUAUGAGAAUUAGUGGGGAAUGAAGUCACCAGAGACUCCUAUCCUGAGGUACUUUAUACCUGUAUUAAUUAGCUAAUUCAAUUUGCAUGUAGAUUCGAGUGCAAAUGGCACAUUUGGAAAACAAAUGUUAUGGUAGAUAGCAAAUAAUUAGCUUCGGAAUUUGUUUUAGUCAGCACAGGCUGCCAUAACAAAAUACAUCAACUGGGUGGUUCAAACAACAGAACUUUAGUUUCUCACGGUUCUGGAGACUGAAAGUCCCAAAUCAGAUGCCAGGCAACUGGCAAGGGCCCUCUUCCCAGCUUGUAGACUGACAACUUCUCGCUACGUCCUCAUAUGACACACACACAGAGAAACACACUCAUACAGAGGAAGAGUCUCUCUGCUAUCAUAAGGGCACUAAUCCUGUCAUGAGGGCUUCAUCCUCAGGACAUUAUUUAACCUAAUUAUCUCCAGAUAAUGGCCCCCACCUCCAGAUACCAUCACAUUGGGAAGUAGAGCUUCAUCACAUGAAUUUGGGGAGACGCAAUUCAGUCCAUAGAAGAAUUCAUAGCAUAAUUCAUGACUUGAACUGUGGUUUGCUCCCUACCUGUGUUCUUCAUGCCUGUUAGCAUGGUUCAGAUGGAGUAAGUUAUUUGAUAUUUCUUAUUGUGCAUGCACACACCCGGGCAGGGCAUACAGCUUAACAGCAAAGCCACUCAAGUGGGCAGAAUUUCUUUACCUACCACUUAGCCACGCUCCAGCUCUUCUUCUAUCAGACAGAGGAAAUUAGGAAAGUGGCAGGAAUUGUAUCACCCUGAAAAAAAGUGUGAGACUGGAAAGGGCAUAAAAGAACCUGGGUGAGUCCUCUUCCACAGCCCUCCUUAACACUGUUUUGGUCUCCCUUGGACUGACAGAGAUAUGUUGAGGGUUGGCGAGAGGGGUAGUGGGGAAAGUGGGAGAAAAAGAGGAACUGGGAGGGAAGAAUCAGGCAAUUAGCAUAUGAGUGAGAAAGCAGAAAUAAAAGUCAACAAACCACAGAAAGAAGACCCUCACAGCCCAGGCUCCACCCAAGCUUUUCUCAUGGGCCCAGGUGCGGAAGUCCUAUCCCCAGCACCAGGCACCAGCAGUGUCUGAAGGAACCUGCUGACCCGGAGAAGGAAGAGGCUGCCUGCUUAGAGGAAAGGAACUUCCAGAUGCCGGGAGAGGCAGCCGGGCCCUGAGCCCUGAGGCCAGGCCUCUCUGUCUCCCGGCUACCAUGGAGGACGGUAAGCUCUGUCUGCUGUGUGGAGGACUUCUGCUGAGUGAGGUGAAAGUGGUCCAGGAAACAGAGGGUGGGGAAGCUCUAAAGGAGAAGUAAAGAGCUGGGAAGAGCUCCAUCUUUUGAAGGGGAUGCCCUGGGCUACCCAGGAAGGCUGCCUCAGAUCUUCAUCAAAAGAGUUAUUAACUCUGCUUCUUCUCAUUGUCCGACCCUGGCAAAUCCCUCACCCAGAAUCCGCCAGCCUUCAUCCAAAUGCACGCAAAGCUGGAGAGAGAAGUGGGCAGGAGGUGGCCGAUUAGAUAAAAAGUGAGAGGUGACAGGCAUUGCCAGGCAAGUGGACAAGACAGGAGAUGGUGUGACUGAAUGAAUCACUAGCCUGGCGCCAGGCGAGGGCCUUUGCCCUGAGGAACCACAUCCCCCUGCAGCGUCCAGGCCACUUCCUGUGCUGCUCACCAAGAACAAAUCGCCCAGGUUAACCUCACUUCCUCUUCCGCUCAGCUUUGCAGGCUGGUAAACCAAGGGACACGUACAGAGCACACGUGAGCCGUAGCAAGGCUCUGGAACCAGGAGUGACGUGGCCCUCGGGGCUGACCCGGAGGGCCGUCCCUGAAUCAUGACACCUUGGGCACCACGUUUACCCACAGGAGGCCUCUCCAGGAUUCUUCAUAUUGAGUUCCAGUUGAGAUGCCUCAAAUUAAGCAAACAUUCACUGGAAAGUGCUGGUGAGGGGGUCCAGAGGGGACAGAAAUGAUUGCAGCAGCUGGAGCAGACUCCCCGAGGACUGGGAAUUCGAGCAGGUGUGGGGAGGAUGAGAGAGCCGUAUUCAAAAAUGUGAAAGUGACAUUGAAGAGAAAAUUCAAUGGAUGAUGCGGAACUCCAGAUUACGAGGAAGUGGAAAUUUCAGACAGAAAAGCAUAUUCCUCCUCAA
Long non-coding RNA from Canis lupus familiaris (dog), 5411 nucleotides. RefSeq lists it as uncharacterized. The record is from RefSeq and is a predicted model, not a curated record. The transcript has 3 exons. Lineage: Eukaryota; Metazoa; Chordata; Mammalia; Carnivora; Canidae.